RNAcentral lists this ribosomal RNA (277 nucleotides) under uncultured prokaryote. RNAcentral's name for it is "partial 16S ribosomal RNA". It matches the Rfam family "Bacterial small subunit ribosomal RNA", at positions 524 to 800 of the family's 1533-position model. The record is from RNAcentral.
UACGUAGGUGGCAAGCGUUGUCCGGAAUUACUGGGUGUAAAGGGCGUGUAGGCGGGACGGCAAGUCAGAUGUGAAAUACCUCGGCUUAACUGGGGUGCUGCAACUGAAACUGUCGUUCUUGAGUGUCGGAGAGGAAAGUGGAAUUCCCAGUGUAGCGGUGAAAUGCGUAGAGAUUGGGAGGAACACCAGUGGCGAAGGCGGCUUUCUGGACGAUAACUGACGCUGAGGCGCGAAAGCGUGGGUAGCAAACAGGAUUAGAUACCCCGGUAGUCCCUGA